RNAcentral lists this ribosomal RNA (493 nucleotides) under uncultured bacterium. RNAcentral's name for it is "bacterial SSU rRNA". It matches the Rfam family "Bacterial small subunit ribosomal RNA", at positions 28 to 507 of the family's 1533-position model. The record is from RNAcentral.
GAUGAACGCUAGCUACAGGCUUAACACAUGCAAGUCGAGGGGAAACGACAUUGGAAGCUUGCUUCCUUUGGGCGUCGACCGGCGCACGGGUGAGUAACGCGUAUCCAACCUUCCCGCAAGUAAGGGAUAACCCGUAGAAAUGCGGCCUAAUACCUUAUGUUUUCCUUAGAGGGCAUCUGAUGAGGAACAAAGAUCCGUCGCUUGCGGAUGGGGAUGCGUCUGAUUAGUUAGUCGGCGGGGUAACGGCCCACCGAGACGACGAUCAGUAGGGGUUCUGAGAGGAAAGUCCCCCACAUUGGAACUGAGACACGGUCCAAACUCCUACGGGAGGCAGCAGUGAGGAAUAUUGGUCAAUGGGCGGAAGCCUGAACCAGCCAAGUAGCGUGCAGGAUGACGGCCCUAUGGGUUGUAAACUGCUUUUAUAAGGGAAUAAAAGUGGGGCUCGUGAGCUCCUUUGCAUGUACCUUAUGAAUAAGGACCGGCUAAUUCCGUG